RNAcentral lists this ribosomal RNA (492 nucleotides) under uncultured bacterium. Its description in RNAcentral is "partial 16S ribosomal RNA". It matches the Rfam family "Bacterial small subunit ribosomal RNA", at positions 29 to 507 of the family's 1533-position model. The record is from RNAcentral.
AGUGAACGCUGGCGGUAGGCCUAACACAUGCAAGUCGAACGGCAGCACAGUAAGAGCUUGCUCUUACGGGUGGCGAGUGGCGGACGGGUGAGGAAUACAUCGGAAUCUACUUUUUCGUGGGGGAUAACGUAGGGAAACUUACGCUAAUACCGCAUACGACCUACGGGUGAACGCAGGGGAUCUUCGGACCUUGCGCGAUUGAAUGAGCCGAUGUCGGAUUAGCUAGUUGGCGGGGUAAAGGCCCACCAAGGCGACGAUCCGUAGCUGGUCUGAGAGGAUGAUCAGCCACACUGGAACUGAGACACGGUCCAGACUCCUACGGGAGGCAGCAGUGGGGAAUAUUGGACAAUGGGCGCAAGCCUGAUCCAGCCAUACCGCGUGGGUGAAGAAGGCCUUCGGGUUGUAAAGCCCUUUUGUUGGGAAAGAAAAGCAGCAGGUUAAUACCCCGCUGUUCUGACGGUACCCAAAGAAUAAGCACCGGCUAACUUCGUG